GUCUGUGGCCUGCCACCCUGAACAAGCCCGAUCCCAUCUGAUCUCAGAAGCUAAGCAGGGUCAGGCCUGGUUAGUACUUGGAUGGGAGACCACCUAGGAAGACCAGGUGCCAUAGGCG
RNAcentral lists this ribosomal RNA (118 nucleotides) under Pteropus alecto (black flying fox). Lineage: Eukaryota; Metazoa; Chordata; Mammalia; Chiroptera; Pteropodidae. The record is from RNAcentral.